This 204-nucleotide unclassified non-coding RNA is filed under the name Hevea brasiliensis (rubber tree). Lineage: Eukaryota; Viridiplantae; Streptophyta; Magnoliopsida; Malpighiales; Euphorbiaceae. The record is from RNAcentral.
GGAGCCUUGUCGAACCAAUGAGUGUUGGUUUUUUGUGCCAUUAGAAUUAUCUUUGGUGGGUUGGUGUUGGUUUGGUUGUGAAGAAUCUUGAUUUUCAUCAACACUCCAUAAGUUAGCAAGAAAUUCAUCCAUGUUCAUGGAACCAAAACUCUUGCCACUCUUGUGUUGAAUUUCAUUGAGAGUAAGUGACAGGAGAGAAUUCUG